This 378-nucleotide ribosomal RNA is filed under the name uncultured organism. RNAcentral describes it as "bacterial SSU rRNA". It matches the Rfam family "Bacterial small subunit ribosomal RNA", at positions 526 to 896 of the family's 1533-position model. The record is from RNAcentral.
CAGAGACUGCAAGCGUUAUUCGGGAUUCACUGGGCGUAAAGGGUGCGCAGGCGGCCGGGUGUGUCAGAUUGUGAAAUCCCGAGGCUUAACCCUCGGAACUGCGUCUGAAACUACUCGGCUAGAGUACUGGAGAGGGUAACGGAAUUCACGGGUGUAGCAGUGAAAUGCGUAGAUAUCGUGAGGAACACCAGAGGCGAAGGCGGUUACCUGGACAGUUACUCGACGCUCAGGCACGAAAGCAUGGGGAGCAAAAGGGAUUAGAUACCCCUGUAGUCCAUGCCCUAAACGGUGCACACUAGGUCUUAGCGGAUUCGACCCCACUAGGGACCCAAGCUAACGCGUUAAGUGUGCCGCCUGAGGACUACGGUCGCAAGACUA